GUCACCACAUAACCAAUAGAUAUCACCGAUUGUCUUUGUGUGAUUCAUUAGCAGUGAUACAGGUGGACUAUGGUAAGUUGAGCAGUAUCCUGAUGGGAAUUUGCCCAGAUACGAACCAGUGUUUUCUGGUAUUGAAUAGCAUGUGUAAUUACCUGGGUAGAUGGUGACUCCAUCGGGUGGUUUCACAUGUCCGUGAGUGAUUGGGUAAAUCUUCUUCCAGGAUUCACAUGUUGAGGAGUUAG
This is a non-coding RNA of Pelobates cultripes (western spadefoot toad), 242 nucleotides long. The record is from the annotation of a GenBank genome assembly. Lineage: Eukaryota; Metazoa; Chordata; Amphibia; Anura; Pelobatidae.